RNAcentral lists this transfer RNA (68 nucleotides) under bovine gut metagenome. It matches the Rfam family "tRNA". From Rfam's summary of the family: Transfer RNA (tRNA) molecules are approximately 80 nucleotides in length. Their secondary structure includes four short double-helical elements and three loops (D, anti-codon, and T loops). Further hydrogen bonds mediate the characteristic L-shaped molecular structure. tRNAs have two regions of fundamental functional importance: the anti-codon, which is responsible for specific mRNA codon recognition, and the 3' end, to which the tRNAs corresponding amino acid is attached (by aminoacyl-tRNA synthetases). tRNAs cope with the degeneracy of the genetic code in two manners: having more than one tRNA (with a specific anti-codon) for a particular amino acid; and 'wobble' base-pairing, i.e. permitting non-standard base-pairing at the 3rd anti-codon position. The record is from RNAcentral.
CGACGUAGCUCAGUUGGUAGAGCAAUGGUUUUGUAAACCAUCGGUCGGAGGUUCAAGUCCUCUCGUCG